RNAcentral lists this ribosomal RNA (253 nucleotides) under uncultured bacterium. Its description in RNAcentral is "partial 16S ribosomal RNA". It matches the Rfam family "Bacterial small subunit ribosomal RNA", at positions 524 to 776 of the family's 1533-position model. The record is from RNAcentral.
UACGAAGGGAGCUAGCGUUGUUCGGAAUCACUGGGCGUAAAGCGCACGUAGGCGGUCUGUUAUGUCGGAUGUGAAAGCCCUUGGCUUAACUGAGGAAGUGCAUCCGAAACUGGCAGGCUAGAGUACUAAAGAGGGUCGCGGAAUUCCCGGUGUAGAGGUGAAAUUCGUAGAUAUCGGGAGGAACACCGGUGGCGAAGGCGGCGACCUGGGUAGAUACUGACGCUGAGGUGCGAAAGCGUGGGGAGCAAACAGG